UACGGAGGGUGCAAGCGUUAAUCGGAAUUACUGGGCGUAAAGAGUGCGUAGGUGGUUGAAUAAGUUAUCUGUGAAAUCCCUGGGCUUAACCUGGGCAGGUCAGAUAAUACUGUUUAACUCGAGUAUGGGAGAGGGUAGUGGAAUUUCCGGUGUAGCGGUGAAAUGCGUAGAGAUCGGAAGGAACACCAGUGGCGAAGGCGGCUACCUGGCCUAAUACUGACACUGAGGCACGAAAGCGUGGGGAGCAAACAGG
Molecule: ribosomal RNA, 253 nt
Filed under: uncultured bacterium
Lineage: Bacteria
Description: partial 16S ribosomal RNA
Rfam family: Bacterial small subunit ribosomal RNA
Source: RNAcentral